CCUACGGGUGGCAGCAGUGAGGAAUAUUGGUCAAUGGACGCAAGUCUGAACCAGCCAUGCCGCGUGCAGGAAGACGGCUCUAUGAGUUGUAAACUGCUUUUGUACGAGGGUAAACGCAGAUACGCGUAUCUGUCUGAAAGUAUCGUAAGAAUAAGGAUCGGCUAACUCCGUGCCAGCAGCCGCGGUAAUACGGAGGAUUCAAGCGUUAUCCGGAUUUAUUGGGUUUAAAGGGUGCGUAGGCGGUCGGGUAAGUUAGAGGUGAAAUCCCGAGGCUCAACUUCGGAAUGGCCUCUGAUACUGUUGGGGUAGGGAGUAGUUGCGGUAGGCGGAAUGGAGGGUGUAGCGGUGAAAGGCUUAGAGAUCAUACAGAACACCGAUUGCGAAGGCAGCUUACCAAGCUACUUCUGACGUUGGGGCACGAAAGCGUGGGGAGCAAACAGGAUUAGAUACCGAGUAGUC
Molecule: ribosomal RNA, 459 nt
Filed under: uncultured bacterium
Lineage: Bacteria
Description: partial 16S ribosomal RNA
Rfam family: Bacterial small subunit ribosomal RNA
Source: RNAcentral